This 506-nucleotide ribosomal RNA is filed under the name uncultured bacterium. RNAcentral's name for it is "partial 16S ribosomal RNA". It matches the Rfam family "Bacterial small subunit ribosomal RNA", at positions 29 to 523 of the family's 1533-position model. The record is from RNAcentral.
AGUGAACGCUGGCGGUAGGCCUAACACAUGCAAGUCGAACGGCAGCACAGGAGAGCUUGCUCUCUGGGUGGCGAGUGGCGGACGGGUGAGGAAUACAUCGGAAUCUACUUUUUCGUGGGGGAUAACGUAGGGAAACUUACGCUAAUACCGCAUACGACCUACGGGUGAAAGCAGGGGAUCUUCGGACCUUGCGCGAUUGAAUGAGCCGAUGUCGGAUUAGCUAGUUGGCGGGGGAAAGGCCCACCAAGGCGACGAUCCGUAGCUGGUCUGAGAGCAUGAUGAGCCACACUGGAACUGAGACACGGUCCAGACUCCGACGGGAGGCAGCAGUGGGGAAUAUUGGACAAUGGGCGCAAGCCUGAUCCAGCCAUACCGCGUGGGUGAAGAAGGCCUUCGGGUUGUAAAGCCCUUUUGUUGGGAAAGAAAUCCAGCUGGCUAAUACCCGGUUGGGAUGACGGUACCCAAAGAAUAAGCACCGGCUAACUUCGUGCCAGCCGCCGCGGUAA